This 253-nucleotide ribosomal RNA is filed under the name uncultured bacterium. Its description in RNAcentral is "partial 16S ribosomal RNA". It matches the Rfam family "Bacterial small subunit ribosomal RNA", at positions 524 to 776 of the family's 1533-position model. The record is from RNAcentral.
UACGUAGGUGGCAAGCGUUGUCCGGGUUUACUGGGCGUAAAGAGCGCGCAGGCGGUCGUUCAAGUCGCGUGUGAAAGCCCCCGGCUCAACUGGGGAGGGUCACGCGAUACUGAUCGACUCGAAGGCAGGAGAGGGUAGUGGAAUUCCCGGUGUAGUGGUGAAAUGCGUAGAUAUCGGGAGGAACACCAGUGGCGAAGGCGACUACCUGGCCUGUUCUUGACGCUGAGGCGCGAAAGCUAGGGGAGCAAACGGG